CCUACGGGUGGCAGCAGUGAGGAAUAUUGGUCAAUGGACGAAAGUCUGAACCAGCCAAGUAGCGUGAAGGAUGACGGCCCUAUGGGUUGUAAACUUCUUUUGUAAGGGAAUAAAACGAGGCACGUGUGCCUUUUUGCAUGUACUUUAUGAAUAAGGAUCGGCUAACUCCGUGCCAGCAGCCGCGGUAAUACGGAGGAUCCAAGCGUUAUCCGGAUUUAUUGGGUUUAAAGGGAGCGUAGAUGGGUUGUUAAGUCAGUUGUGAAAGUCUGCGGCUCAACCGUAAAAUUGCAAUUGAUACUGGCAGUCUUGAGUACAGUUGAGGUAGGCGGAAUUCGUGGUGUAGCGGUGAAAUGCUUAGAUAUCACGAAGAACCCCGAUUGCGAAGGCAGCUUACUAAACUGCGACUGACAUUGAUGCUCGAAAGUGUGGGGAUCAAACAGGAUUAGAUACCCCAGUAGUC
RNAcentral lists this ribosomal RNA (460 nucleotides) under uncultured bacterium. RNAcentral's name for it is "partial 16S ribosomal RNA". It matches the Rfam family "Bacterial small subunit ribosomal RNA", at positions 338 to 795 of the family's 1533-position model. The record is from RNAcentral.